UCAAUAUGUAAUUCAUAACAUAAAUAUUCAUUUCAUUUAAAUAAUCAACAUGGCUUAUGAGUAUCAUAAAAGCUUGGCUCCUGCCAAAAUCAUUCUCGGGAAUAACUUGGCCGAGGCAUUUAACCGAGUCCGCCAAGGUUGUUAAAAAGUUCGUAUACACGUAAACAUGUCUUUAUUUUAAAAACACAGCCGUUCCUUGGCAUUAGCGGAGUUCAUCAUCACGAGGUGGUUCAACGUGACAUGAACUCUAACCAUACCUCAGGAGAUACCCUACGUGCCUCUUCGACCUAGGUACAUAUAUAACUGGAUUUCGUGCCCCUCAAAAAGGCUGGUCCAUAGAACCCGCCCACUGCAGCAAGCUAAUCCCACCAUACAAUAAAAUUUUGACAGCAUGACAUGACUAAUAUUAUACUACCCAGCCUGUAAAUGUAAAACAGAAUAAUUCAUACAGUUCACAAAUCAUAAUUCCAGCUAGUCAUGCCAACACAUUAUCAUAAGCCAUCAAUUAGAAUCAUAAAUUACAACCCAUCAAGUGGUCUCUAGUUACUCUAUUUUCAAAGCCAUCAUUCAAUUUUAAGACAAUUUAUAAAAUCAUUUUAUUUAAACACAUUUUGUUUAUAAAACCUAAAAAUUAACCAUUUAAACUCAUUUUCCACAAAUUUCACAAAAUCGAAUAAAAAGACCACUUUAGAUAAUUAAAAUGAUGAUAAGGUUACUCUCUAUUUCGGGAGUCAAAUUUCUAGGGUACUCUGACUACCGAUCCUCGGGUACGAUUUCUUUGCCCUUAGCGGAGGAUUCACCAUAUAUACAUCAUACGUGACACGAAUUUCAAUAAUUUAUGUCAAUUUAUCAUAAACUAUUUCAGGCUUUAUAAAUCUAUAUGAAUGCACAAAAUGUGAUGCAAAAUGUCCAAAUAGCCAUUUAAAUACGGUAUUCGACCUAAUUCGCACUAUUCUCGGUAUAAUUGACGAAAACCUUCAAUUUAACUCCAAAUCGAUUUCUUUCACUUUCUACACUCCAAUUAUACUUAAAUACCUCAAUGACUGUGAAUAUGAUUCAAUUUAUCUAUCCGAACCAUAAAUCGCACAUGUAUAUACAUUAGGUAAAAAUUCAUAUUUUCAUGCCAAAAUUUCCCAUUAAAUUUCUAGCCUCACCAAUCAUUAAAUACCACCAAAAUAUCAUGAAAUAUCAUCAAUUUCAGCCUCAAUAUCCUCCUUAGAAAAUUCAGCCUCUUGUGGGUUUGUGAAGAACAAAGUGAUUCCUUGCUAGAUUUUCAUACUUUCCAUUACCAAACAACCAAAAACACUUAACUAGCUUGAAAUCUAGCAAAAUCCAUGCUCAAAACCUCUCCUCUCAAAUUCGGCCAGCAUGGGUUCAUCAUGCAAACUUGAGUUCUAAGCAUGGAAAAUGAAAAAGAAAGCAUGGGUAGUGUAAAUCACAAGAUAAAAUUAUAAAAUUUUACCUUUAUUAGCUUAAUCCCUUGAAAUCUCACACUUUUUCUUCAAUUUUCCCACCUAGGGUUUGUGUUCUUUCUUUUCUUUCUUUGUUCUUCCUUUGGUUCUUGUUUUGGUCGGCCAUAUGAAGAGAAAUAGGCUGAUUUUAUGUUAAUUUAAAGCUAAAUAAUAAAUGGAUAUAAACUUGACACAUGUCACCAUUCCAUUGGUCCAUGUGUCAUACUUACCCAUUAAGCAAUCUCUCUCCACCACUUAAAUUUCCUCAAUUAUCCAUAAUAAUAUUGGGUAAAAUCCAUGUGCUGGACAAAUGUUAGGUGGUGUAAAAUUACAAUUUUGCCCCUAGGGUGGCAAAAUGACUAUAUUUACCUCUAUGCUCGAAAAAAUGUCAGAAUUAAAAUUUUUCACUUCUCAAACUCAAAUUAUGUUCAAAAUAGUCAUUCUUGAUCAAAAACUUCUUCCAACAUUCACAUCUUAACCUCGGGUGGCAAAAUUACCAUUUUGCCCCUAGAUCAUGAAAAUUCUAAUUUGACUCCAAAUCGGUCCUCGAACUCUGAAUCACCAUUUUAAGUUAUUCUGAGAAUUUAAAAUUCUCAAUUUCAUCUUAAGAUCUCUCUUUAGACUAGUUCGAGGCUUAAUUCAACUUAGUUGUACUAUUAAGUACACUACCGGCUCUUUACGAUUUUUCGGGGCUUUCCUAGUAUGCAAGCAUAUUGUCAAUCACAUGAAUGACAUGGCAAGUAUUUUAUAGAGUUAGGCUUGACAACACUACCCCCCUUAAAAUAAAAUUUUGACCUCAAAAUUUUACUUACCAGAUUCAAAGAAAAGAUGUGGAUAUUGGUUCCUCAUCUGGUGCUCGACUUCCCACGUCAUCUCCUCCAUUCGAGCAUUCUUCCACAACACUUUAACCAUUGGAAUGCUCUUGUUCCUCAACACUCGAUCCUUUCGAUCUAGAAUUCGUACAGGUUGCACUUCGAACUUCAAAUCUUCAUGCAACUCAAUGGGAGGUGUCUCUAGAACGUGGGAAGGAUCGAGACAAGACGUGGAAGACAUUAUGAAUCCGAUCUAACUCCGGGGGUAAUUCAAGUCUGUAAGCCACUGGCCUAAUCCUUUCAAUGAUACGAAAGGGUCCAAUAUAUCUCGGAUUGAGCUUUCCCCGCUUUGCGAAUCGAAUCACACCUUUUAUUAUCCAAUAAAUACCACAAAUUAUCACAAUAGUGUAAUCAAAUAAGAUUUAAUACUUGAAAUUUUCAAAUUAUUACCUUUCCAAGGAGAAACCUUAAGAAAAACUUUAUUGUCCACUUCAAACUCCAAAUUUUUCCUUCGUUUAUCAGAAUAACUCUUUUGCCUAUCUUGAGCUGUCUUUAAUCGCUCUCGAAUAAUCUUAAUCUUGUCAUUUGUCAGAUCAAUCAAUUCCACAUUAACCAAUUUCCUCUCACCUACUUCAUCCCAACAGAGCGGAGUUCGGCACUUCCUUUCAUACAGAGCCUCACAUGGUGCCAUCCCAAUACUAGAUUGAAAACUAUUAUUAUACGCGAACUCCACCAAUGGCUAGUGUCUGUCCCAACUCCCAAUAAAGUCAAUGACAUAAGCCCGUAACAUAUCCUCCAAGGUCUGAAUAGUCCUUUCAGAUUGACCAUCAGUCUAUGAAUGAAAGGCAGUACUAAAUCUCAAUUUAGUUCUGAGAGCUUCCUGAAAUUUUGGCCAAAAUCGAGAAGUAAAUCGGGGGUCUCGAUCUGAAAUAAUAAAAACUGGAACUCCAUGUAAUCUCAUAACCUCAUCUAUAUAAAGUUUCGCCAAUUUCUCAAUAGAAUACGUGCUAUGGAUAGACAAGAAAUGGGCGAACUUAGUCAAUCUAUCCACAAUCACCCAAAUAGCAUCCUUCCCACUCUGUGUCCGCAGCAAACCCAAUACAAAGUCCAUAGUCACGUGUUCCCACUUCCAUUCCGGAAUAGGUAAAGGCUGAAGAGUACCUGAUGGUUUUUUAUGCUCUGCCUUGAUUUGUUGGCAUGUGAGACAUUUCGCUUCAAACUCUGCUAUGUCUUGUUUCAUACCCAGCCACCAAUAACUUUCCUUGAUAGUCCGAUACAUCUUGGUGCUUCCGGGUUGUAAAGCGUAGGCGGAAGAAUGAGCUUCCUCUAAAAUAGCUCGUCUCAAUUGAUCAUCCUUUGGGACACAAACUCGAUCUCUAAGCAUCAAAGUACCAUCAUCACUGAGUCUAAACUCACUAGUUUCUCCAUCUUGCAGCUUUUGAACUUUAUGCUUCAACCAAUCAUCGGAUUUCUACAAUUAUUUGAUUUGAUUUAACAAUGAAGGUCUCACAACGAAACUAGCAAGUAGGGUUCCAUCCUCACCAUUAUUCAAUUGGAUCCCUAGAGACUUCAUCUCAAAUAAUAUCGAAAAAUAAGAACUCUGAAAUGCUACUAAUAAAGAUGAGGAUUUACGACUUAAAGCAUCCGCUACAACAUUUGCCUUUCCCAAAUGAUAACCAAUCACCAAGUCGUAAUCCUUAAUCAACUCCAACUAUCGUCUCUGUCUCAAAUUAAGUUCUUUUUGGGUGAGCAAAUAUUUCAAACUCUUAUGGUCGGUAAAAAUCUGACAACGCUCACCAUAUAAAUAAUGCCUCCAAAUCUUUAAUGCAAAGACUACUGCAGCUAACUCCAAAUCAUGGGUAGGGUAAUUCGUCUCAUGCUUCUUCAACUGCCGGGAAGCAUAAGCUAUUACUUUUUCAUCCUGCAUCAAUACGCACCCUAAUCCCAACUUAGAGGUAUCACUAUAUACCACAAAUUCUUUUCCACUAACAGGAAGUGUCAAAACGAGAGCGGAGGUUAACCAGUUCUUUAGCUCCUGAAAUCGACUUUCACAGACAUCAUCCCACUCAAACUUAACUCCUUUAUGAGUCAAACGAGUUAGAGGAGCAGCUAUCAAUGAGAAUCCUUAAACAAACCUCCGAAAAUAACCGGCGAAGCCAAGAAAACUAUGAAUCUCUGUUACCGUUUUCGGUUGCUCCCAUUGCAAGAUUACUUCAAUCUUCUUGAUAUCGACAUAAAUUCCAACUCCAGAUACCACAAGUCCCAAGAAAACCACUUCCUUCAACCAGAACUCACAUUUAGAGAACUUGGCAUAGAGUUGUUUCUCGCGUAAAGUUUACAACACAAUGCGCAAAUGGGAAGCAUGUUCAUCAUCAUUCUUCGAAUAAACUAGGAUGUCAUCUAUGAAUACUAUCACAAACUUAUCCAGGUAUGGAUGGAACACCCUAUUCAUAAGAUCCACAAAAGCUGCCAGGGCAUUAGACAAACCAAACAGCAUCACCAGAAACUCAUAAUGCCCAUAACGCGUCCUAAAAGUAGUCUUGGGUACAUCCUGCUCCUUAAUCUUCAAUUGAUAAUACCCAGACCUCAAAUCAAUAUUAGAAAACACCAUAGCACCUAGUAAUUGAUCAAAAAGAUCAUCGAUCCAUGGUAAAGGAUAUUUAUUCUUGAUGGUCACUCGUUCAACUGACGGUAGUCAAUACAUAACCGAAGAGUGCCAUCAUUCUUCUUUACAAAUAGAACUGGUGCUACCCAAGGAGAAGUGUUAGGGCGAAAAAAAUCCUUAUCCACCAAAUCUUGCAGCUGAACUUUUAGUUCCUUCAACUCCGCCAGAGCCAUUCGAUAUGGAGGGAUAGAAAUAGGUGCGAUAUCUUAUAGUAAAUCAAUAGGGAACUCAAGCUCUCGUUCAGGAAAUAGUCCCGAUAAUUCUUAAGGAAAUACAUCAGGAAACUCACUAACUAUUGGGACAUCCUCUAAUUUAGGUUCCACUUUUGAAGUAUCGAUCACGUGAGCCAAAUAAGUAGGAUACCUUUUCUGUACUAGUUUCAAAGCUUUAAUGGCUGAGAUUACACAAGGCGGUAAUACUCGACGUUUUCUUGCAAAAACAAUCUCUGUUCCCUCCGAAUUUCGAAGAACAACUUCUUUCUCGAAACAAUCUACAUUGGCCCGAUGUGCAGUUAACCAGUCCAUACCCAAUAUCAAAUCAAAAUCUUAGAUUUCUAGAGGAAUCAAGUCACCCCUAAAUUCUUCCUCACUAACUAUUACUCCACAAUCUCUGUGACAACUAUUUCUAACUAACUUCUCUCCUAAAAAGGUGUGAACUACAAUUUCUUCCUCUAAUGGUGACAGGUUUCUAUCAGCAAUUGAUGCAAAUGCCAUACUCACAUAAGACCUAUCUGAGCCAGAAUCUAUCAAAACAUAAGCAUCUUUAUCAAAUAAAGACAUAGUACCUGUCACUGCUCCAAGUCGAACUCGUGCCUCAUCUUCCGUCAGAACGAAAACUCUUGUGGAAGUACGAGUCUGUGGUCUCGAAGGUGGAUAUGCUGGGGUGUUACUCUCUACACCAGACUAUAUAGCCACUCUUUGCCUUAAUGGUAACCCAAAAGGAUCUCUCCUCCACAUAUCCGUACGAGCUGGUGGAGAUGGAGUAAUUGUAGUAACCCGUCCUAGCUGUGGGCACUCACUCUUAAUGUGACCCAGCUGAUCACAAUGAUAACAUCGUACUGGUCCCCUACACUGCCUAACAUGAUUCUUCUCACACUUCUUCCAUCUAUCAGAACCUUCGAAACUCUUCUUAGAAUAAGUCAUCAUAGAUCUACUGAAUUUCAGAGGCCUCUGCUGUGUUUGUGAAAAUGAAGGUCGAGGAUAUGUCACUGAAAUAGAGGUAGUACUCCUCGAAGCAGAUGAGUCUUUUUCAUUUUUAGGUGGCUGACUGAAAGAUACACUCGAACUUCUCCUUUUUGCAAACUCAGCUCGCAUUCUCCUAUUUUCAUUUGUAAGCUUCUCGGUCCUUAAAGCCAUCUGUACCACUUCCUUAUGUGGCUCCCUACUAGUCAUUGUCAUAUGCUCUCUAAUCUCAUUACGGAGCCCUUCCUCAAAAUAAUUGGCCUGAUCCUGCUCAGAUUUCACCAGAUCCGACACAUAUAACAUCAGCUCGUUAAAACGAGCCUCGUACUCCUCUACCGUUAAGUUUUCCUGUUUCAAACUCAAAAAUUCCCUCUUUUUUUCUUUUUGAUGGAAAUAAGUGAAAUACUGACCAUGAAAUUCUCUUAGAAAGUCUGACCAGGUCAGAGGAGUAGUGGAACGAGAUUUUACUGAAUUCCACCAUGUACGGGCUUUCUUCUCUAGUAAUCUCAUGGCCACCAUCAACUUCAUGUCAUCAUCCAACCUCAUAUCAAAGAGUGUCUCCAAAAUCUGAUUAAUCCAAUCUUUGGCUACUGUUGCAUCCAAAUCACCCGUAAAAGAAACGUAACUCAGUUGUCUAGCUUCCUUCCACUUCUUAGCAAUGGAUACAUCUUGUACUGGCGGUGGAACUGGAGGUGGGGGUGGUGGUACUGAAGGAGCAACUGGUGGUACUAUAGAAGGAGCCUGACCAACUUGAGCCUGGCCAGCAAUAGCGGUAAAGAAGGCUGCCAAUGCCUGGACUACCUCAAGAGACAUGGCAGGAAUAUUAGUAGGUGGCGGACGAUGUGAAAAAUGUGGAGAAUAUGGAGAAUGUGGAGGAGUCUCGGCCCGCUCAACAGUAGGUGCUGCCCUAAUGGUGGACACAGCUGAUUCCUCCUCUACUGCAUCUAGCUGACGGCGUUGGGAAUGACCUCUUCCCCUCCCAGCCGAUCUAGUGAGAGGUGGGUGUUCGCGUCGAGGAGGCAUGAUAAUCUAUAAGAGGAAACAAACAAGUUUAGGCAACCUCAAGCUCUAUAUGCAAAUGCAUGCAUCCUAUUCAACCUAACCUAACUUAACCCGAGGCCACACUGACACUGUAAAUUUUUAAAACAACUUUGAAACCAAAAGCUCUGAUACCAAUCAAAUUGUCACGACCCGGAACUCCCAUCGACCCCGUGACAACCGUCGCGACAUCCCGAUAGACAUUUAUUACCCGAAAUGUCAAUCGAAACCUCGCAAGGCUUAACAUCAGUUUUUCUCGCUUCCCCUAUGAGUAUUAGUUACUAAAAUCAUGUUUUGAGAGAUUAUAAACUAUUUCCAAUUCAAAACAAUAGAAAAAUAAAUUUUUCCUCAUAAGGGCAUUUUGAUCAUUUUUCCUUUAAGGUCUCAAAACUCGCUAAAAAUGUAGUAAGCGAGUACAAAACACGUAAUUCAUAAUAAAAAAUAAGUUUAAACAUUUAAAACUUUCAUUUAAAAUGAAAUUAUGAUUAUUUCAAUAUAAUAAAAAUAUUCAAUAAAAUAUUAUAUUUUCUUAUAAAACAAUAUUUAUAAAGUUACCGGUAAAUAAUUUUCGUAGCGUAAAAGCUAAAUAAAUUCAUACAUAUUGUAAUAUAGUAAGCCAGAGUAUUUAACUUAAUUUAUAAUAACCAGUGAGCCCCCGAAUAACCAAAAAUAAGAAAAGACUGUAAACCUAUAGUUUGGAGGAUGCAACUCCAAUGGUAGCCCUCGAUGAAAAACAGUUAUCUACAGCCUAUUUUGAGCCUGAAAUGGGUGGAAAUGAGAGUGGUGAGAUUAUAUAAUCCUAGUGAGUAAAUAAACACCAUUCAAAAUAUCUAAAGACAAGUAAAUGGAGACGAUUAAAAUAUUCCAUCUCAAUAUGUAAUUCAUAACAUAAAUAUUCAUUUCAUUUAAAUAAUCAACAUGGCUUAUGAGUAUCAUAACAGCUUGGCUCCUGCCAAAAUCAUUCUCGAGAAUACCUUGGUCGAGGCAUUUAACCGAGUCCACCAAGGUUGUUAAAAAAUUCGUAUACACGUAAACAUUUCUUUAUUUUAAAAACACAACCGUUCCUUGGCGUUAGCGGAGUUCAUCAUCACGAAGUGGUUCGACGUGACAUGAACUGUAACCAUACCUCAAGAGAUACCCUACGUGCCUCUCCGACCAAGGUACAUAUAUAACUAGAUUCCGUGCCUUUCAAAAAGAUUGGUCCACAGAACUCGCCCACUGCAGCAAGCUAAUCCCACCAUACAAUAAAAUUUUGACAGCAUGGCAUGACUAAUAUUAUACUACCCAGCUUGUAAAUGUAAAACAGAACAAUUCAUACAGUUCACAAAUCAUAAUUCCAGCCAGUCAUGCCAACACAUUAUCAUAAGCCAUCAAUUAGAAUCAUAAAUUACAACGCAUCAAGUGGUCUUUAGUUACUCUAUUUUCAAAGCCAUCAUUCAAUUUUAAGACAAUUUAUAAAAUCAUUUUAUUUAAACACAUUUUGUUUAUAAAACCUAAAAAUUAACCAUUUAAACUCAUUUUCCAUAAAUUUCACAAAAUCGAAUAAAAAGACCACUUUAGAUAAUUAAAAUGAUGAUAAGGUUACUCACUAUUUCGGGAGUUGAAUUUCUAAAGUACUUUGACUAUCGAUCCUCGGGUAUGAUUUCUUUGCCCUUAGCGGAGGAUUCACCACCUAUAUAUCAUACGUGACACGAAUUUCAAUAAUUUAUGUCAAUUUAUCAUAAACUAUUUCAGGCUCUAUAAAUCUAUUUGAAUGCACGAAAUGUGAUGCAAAUUGUCCGAAUAGCCAUUUAAAUACGGUAUUCGACCUAAUUCGCACUAUUCUUGGUAUAAUUGGCUAAAACCUCCAAUUUAACUCCAAAUCGAUUUCUUUCACUUUCUACACUCCAAUUAUACUUAAAAUACCUCAAUGACUGUGAAUAUGAUUCAAUUUAUCAGUCCGAACCAUAAAUCGCACAUGUCUAUACAUUAGGUAAAAAUUCAGAUUUUCAUGCCAAAAUUUCCCAUUAAAUUUCUAGCCUCACCAAUCAUUAAAUACCACCAAAAUAUCAUGAAAUAUCAUCAAUUUCAGCCUCAAUAUCCUUCCUAGAAAAUUCGACCUCUUAUAGGUUUGUGAAGAACAAAGUGAUUCCUUGCUAAAAUUUCAUACUUUCCAUUACCAAACAACCAAAAACACUUAAUUAGCUUGAAAUCUAGCAAAAUCAAUGCUCAAAACCUCUCCUCAAAUUCGGCCAGCAUGGGUUCAUCAUGCAAACUUGAGUUCUAAGCAUGGGAAAUGAAAAAGAAAGCAUGGGUAGUGUAAAUCUCAAGAUAAAAUCACAAAAUUUUACUUUUAUUAGCUUAAUCCCUUAAAAUCCCACACUUUUUCUUCAAUUUUCCCACCUAGGGUUUGUGUUCUUUCUUUUCUUUCUUUGUUCUUCCUUUGGUUCUUGUUUUGGUCGGC
Molecule: long non-coding RNA, 9590 nt
Filed under: Theobroma cacao (cacao)
Lineage: Eukaryota; Viridiplantae; Streptophyta; Magnoliopsida; Malvales; Malvaceae
Description: long non-coding RNA (TCAC_LNC000499)
Source: RNAcentral